RNAcentral lists this ribosomal RNA (801 nucleotides) under uncultured Methylobacter sp. RNAcentral describes it as "bacterial SSU rRNA". It matches the Rfam family "Bacterial small subunit ribosomal RNA", at positions 54 to 852 of the family's 1533-position model. The record is from RNAcentral. Lineage: Bacteria; Pseudomonadati; Pseudomonadota; Gammaproteobacteria; Methylococcales; Methylococcaceae.
CAUGCAAGUCGAACGGUAACAGGCCUUCGGGUGCUGACGAGUGGCGGACGGGUGAGUAACGCGUAGGAAUCUGCCCUGUAGUGGGGGACAACGUGGGGAAACUCACGCUAAUACCGCAUACGCCCUGAGGGGGAAAGCGGGGGACCUUCGGGCCUCGCGCUAUGGGAUGAGCCUGCGUGGGAUUAGCUAGUUGGUAGGGUAAAGGCCUACCAAGGCGACGAUCCCUAGCCGGCCUGAGAGGGUGGCCGGCCACACUGGGACUGAGACACGGCCCAGACUCCUACGGGAGGCAGCAGUGGGGAAUAUUGGACAAUGGGCGCAAGCCUGAUCCAGCAAUGCCGCGUGUGUGAAGAAGGCCUGAGGGUUGUAAAGCACUUUCAGUGGGGAGGAAAAAGCGAAGGUUAAUACCCUUGGUCUUGACAUUACCCAGAGAAGAAGCACCGGCUAACUCCGUGCCAGCAGCCGCGGUAAUACGGAGGGUGCGAGCGUUAAUCGGAAUUACUGGGCGUAAAGCGUGCGUAGGCGGCUAUUUAAGUCAGAUGUGAAAGCCCCGGGCUUAACCUGGGAACGGCAUUUGAUACUGGGUAGCUAGAGUUUGGUAGAGGGGAGUGGAAUUUCAGGUGUAGCGGUGAAAUGCGUAGAGAUCUGAAGGAACACCAGUGGCGAAGGCGGCUCCCUGGACCAGAACUGACGCUGAGGCACGAAAGCGUGGGUAGCAAACAGGAUUAGAUACCCUGGUAGUCCACGCCGUAAACGAUGCCGACUAGCCGUUGGGUCUUUAAGGAGGCUUGGUGGCGCAGC